This is a non-coding RNA of Pocillopora verrucosa, 254 nucleotides long. NCBI's taxonomy places the organism in Eukaryota, Metazoa, Cnidaria, Anthozoa, Scleractinia, Pocilloporidae. The record is from RefSeq and is a predicted model, not a curated record.
AACAAUCUACGCAGCCUUCAUCCGGGAAUAUUCAAGACCUUAAUGUCCUUGGAACUUUUGUGGUUACAUGAGAAUCAGUUAAAAGAACUACCACCAAAACUUCUUGAUGAAUUGACUCGGCUGAAAAACUUUGCCGUCUCGGACAACGAGCUCCAAACGUUGCCAGAGGGAAUAUUUGACAACCUGACCAGCUUAACUAGAUUGUAUAUCUACAACAACAAACUAAGCAGUCUUCAUCCAGGAAUAUUCAGGAC